GUAGCAGCCCUGCAGUUGUAGUGUCCUC
Molecule: non-coding RNA, 28 nt
Filed under: Homo sapiens (human)
Lineage: Eukaryota; Metazoa; Chordata; Mammalia; Primates; Hominidae
Source: RNAcentral